CAGCAGCCGCGGGAAUACGUAGGGUGCAAGCGUUAAUCGGAAUUACUGGGCGUAAAGCGUGCGCAGGCGGUUUUGUAAGUCUGUCGUGAAAUCCCCGGGCUCAACCUGGGAAUGGCGAUGGAGACUGCAAGGCUAGAAUCUGGCAGAGGGGGGUAGAAUUCCACGUGUAGCAGUGAAAUGCGUAGAUAUGUGGAGGAACACCGAUGGCGAAGGCAGCCCCCUGGGCUAAGAUUGACGCUGAGGUACGAAAGCAUGGGGAGCAAACAGGAUUAGAUACCCCCGUAGUCCCUGUCUCUUAUAC
This 301-nucleotide ribosomal RNA is filed under the name uncultured bacterium. Its description in RNAcentral is "partial 16S ribosomal RNA". It matches the Rfam family "Bacterial small subunit ribosomal RNA", at positions 509 to 807 of the family's 1533-position model. The record is from RNAcentral.